GACAGAGGUCCCGAGCGUUAGGCGGAAUCACUGGGCUUAAAGCGUGUGUAGGCGGAUUUGUAAGUACCUUGUGAAAUCCCACGGCUUAACCGUGGAACUGCUUGGUAUACUGCUUAUCUUGGGCCAGCUAGGGGCUACCGGAACAAGUGGUGGAGCGGUGAAAUGCGUAGAUAUUGGGAGGAACACCAGUGGCGAAGGCGGCUUGCCAGAACGCACUCGACGGUGAGGGAUGAAAGCUGGGGGAGCAAACCGG
Molecule: ribosomal RNA, 253 nt
Filed under: uncultured bacterium
Lineage: Bacteria
Description: partial 16S ribosomal RNA
Rfam family: Bacterial small subunit ribosomal RNA
Source: RNAcentral